RNAcentral lists this long non-coding RNA (1861 nucleotides) under Canis lupus familiaris (dog). RNAcentral's name for it is "lncRNA (ENSCAFG00845025282.1)". The record is from RNAcentral. Lineage: Eukaryota; Metazoa; Chordata; Mammalia; Carnivora; Canidae.
UUUUAACCUUUACUACAACCCAUCUGGACAAAAUAUUAAUGGACGCAUUCAUAGAAAAGGAAACAUGCUCAGAGGCACCCUCAUGUAUCCUAGGCUGAUGCCACCUUCUUUCUUUCAAAUUCCUUCAAUGUUUCACUUGUGUCAAAUGACUUGGUUCAGUCAUGCAACCAUUUUAGCUGAUUUCUUCACUGACUGAACCAGUACAAUUUAUUCAUUGUCUUAGGUUUGGGGUGACACAGCCUCACAGUUGAAAGGGACAUACAUGUUCAACGCCAUUGAAAUAAUGGAAUAAUCCACAGAUUGACUCAUGGCAUCUUGAAGAUUCUGCCCCCAAAGACACCAACAUGAGACAGGUUUUAAUCAUUAUAUCUAUAGACAUUUCCUGGAGCAAGAAGCUGUGGCCAUAUUUGGUAACUUUGUUGUGUACUACCAAACCUUGUGUAGGUGUACCAAAAUCAAGCACCUAUGGCUGAUGAAAUUGUCAUCCUCCAGGUUAAAGAGGUUCCAUAUCUUAGUCUAAAGGAGAGACACUGUUGUUCAACUACCGAUCUGGUUCCAAGAGCAGUGUUAAAUUUAAAGGGAUGACCAUUCAGCAACCUCACUUAUUGUGCUGACCUUGACUGUAGACCAGACUGUGACCAGAGGGCUUCAUCUUGUUGAAGAUGAUAGUCCCUGUCUCCAUUCUGUAAUGUCAGAAGUCUUCACUCUAGUCACAGGACAAGAAAUCUAAUGUCACCAUUCGAGAAUGGUGUAUCUUCUUUAAGCCCUUCCCAAUGGCUUUUAUGGCAAUGAAGAAACCAAGGACAUAUUUUUCUUGCCAUCUUACAUGCUGUUUAUAGUCUUUAUCUGGCAACAUGCCUGGAGUGUGAGGGUUGGUCUCUAGAUAGAUCUUUAAGGUUUUCUCCUUGCCAAUUACCAUCACUCAAAUACCCUCAUUAUCAGUGGGGAUCUUAAACUCUGGGUUACACCUCCUUUUUAAUUCUGCUUCCAGGAGUAGAGCUUCUAAAAUAGAUACCUCUAUUAAUGAUGUCACUCAGAUGACCAUUUGUCUGUGCCUGAUGAUGGAGUUGGAAAGAUGACAGUUUUUGAAAGAAAAGGUAAAUCAUUCAAAGAAAGUUUUUUAUACACAAAGCUGUAUUAUCUCCACUUAAUAUGGCAUAACAAUGCUCUACAAGGGAGCCUAAAGUACUAAGAGCAAAAUGAUUUACAUACACCAAUAUUAGAUUCCCUAUUUUGUUUACAGUCUUAUACCGGGCUUCACAGAGGGCUGAAGUAUCUUUUUUUUUUUUUUAAGAUUUUUUAAAAGAUUUAUUUAUUCGAGAGAGAGAGAGAGAGAGUGAGCACAUAGAGGGGCAGAGACAGAGGGAGAAAGAGAAAAGCUGACUCCCCACUGAGUGUGGAGCGUGGUAUGGGGUUCUAUCUCAUGACCCUGAGAUGAUAACCUGAGCUUAAAUCAAGAGUCAGACACUAAACUGACUGCGUCACCCAGGCACUUCUGAGUUAUCUUUAAUUUCGGGUUUCCCUCAUCUCACUUUUGAACAAGCAUCCAAUAACUUUCUCACUCCUGCAGUAUUCACAUUUCUAGUUCCUUAAGUCUUUUUAAGACCUAAGCAUAGAAAAAAAAAAAAAAAAGGACUGAAAGGGAAUUUUAGAAAGUUGAAAUAUUUACAUCAAAUUUUAAUGACAUGGAUUCCUGGGUGGCGCAGCGGUUUGGCGCCCGCCUUUGGCCCAGGGCGCGAUCCUGGAGACCCGGGAUCGAAUCCCACGUCGGGCUCCCGGUGCAUGGAGCCUGCUUCUCCCUCUGCCUGUGUCUCCGCCUCUCUCUCUCUCUCUCUGUGACUAUCAUAAAUAAAUAAAAAAA